CAGCAGCCGCGGUAAUACGUAGGUGGCAAGCGUUGUCCGGAAUUAUUGGGCGUAAAGGGCUCGCAGGCGGUUUCUUAAGUCUGAUGUGAAAGCCCCCGGCUCAACCGGGGAGGGUCAUUGGAAACUGGGGAACUUGAGUGCAGAAGAGGAGAGUGGAAUUCCACGUGUAGCGGUGAAAUGCGUAGAGAUGUGGAGGAACACCAGUGGCGAAGGCGACUCUCUGGUCUGUAACUGACGCUGAGGAGCGAAAGCGUGGGGAGCGAACAGGAUUAGAUACCCCCGUAGUCCCUGUCUCUUAUAA
Molecule: ribosomal RNA, 301 nt
Filed under: uncultured bacterium
Lineage: Bacteria
Description: partial 16S ribosomal RNA
Rfam family: Bacterial small subunit ribosomal RNA
Source: RNAcentral